Oryza sativa Japonica Group (Japanese rice) is the source of this 2230-nucleotide non-coding RNA. The record is from RefSeq and is a predicted model, not a curated record. NCBI's taxonomy places the organism in Eukaryota, Viridiplantae, Streptophyta, Magnoliopsida, Poales, Poaceae.
UUAUUCACGAUCCGUUAAGCUGUUCCCCCUCCCUUCCAACGCCGGCCACUCGUCUCCUCCUCCUCCCACCUCCCGUUUCCCCCGCGCCAUCCUCCUCCGCCUCGCCGCCAUGGCCGCGACCCCGCCGUCGUCGCAGCACCGGCGGCCGCUGUCCUCCUCCGCCUCCGCCGCCUCCCUCGCUGGCAAGCCGCGGGGGGGCGGGCUCCUGCUCGGGCGGUACGAGCUCGGCCGCCUCCUCGGCCACGGCACCUUCGCCAAGGUGUACCAGGCGCGGAGCGCGGAUUCCGGGGAGCCGGUCGCGAUCAAGGUGCUCGACAAGGAGAAGGCGAUGCGGCACGGCCUCGUCCCGCACAUCAAGCGGGAGAUCGCCAUCCUCCGCCGCGUCCGCCACCCCAACAUCGUGAGGCUGUUCGAGGUGAUGGCCACCAAGUCCAAGAUCUACUUCGUGAUGGAGCUCGUCCGCGGCGGGGAGCUGUUCGGCCGCGUCGCCAAGGGGCGGCUCAAGGAGGACACCGCGCGGCGCUACUUCCAGCAGCUCGUCUCCGCCGUCGGGUUCUGCCACGCGCGCGGCGUGUUCCACCGCGACCUCAAGCCCGAGAACCUCCUCGUCGACGAGCACGGCGACCUCAAGGUCUCCGACUUCGGCCUCUCCGCCGUCGCCGACCAGUUCCACCCCGACGGCCUCCUCCACACCUUCUGCGGCACGCCCUCCUACGUCGCGCCCGAGGUGCUCGCGCGCCGCGGCUACGACGGCGCCAAGGCGGACAUAUGGUCCUGCGGCAUCAUCCUCUUCGUGCUCAUGGCUGGCUACCUUCCGUUCCAUGACCAGAAUCUCAUGGCCAUGUACCGAAAGAUUUACAGGGGGGAAUUCCGGUGCCCGAGAUGGUUCUCCAAGGAUCUUUCCAGUCUACUGAAUCGCAUCCUUGACACGAACCCAGAGACAAGGAUCACUGUCAAAGAGGUCAUGGAGAGCAGGUGGUUCCAGAAGGGAUUCCGGCCGGUCAGAUUCUAUGUUGAGGAUGAUCAGGUUCACAGCUUGGCAGAUGGUGAUAAUGAUAUGCCGGAGUUGGAACCUAGUGAGCCUCCUCCUCCUCCUCCGUUUCCGCCGCCGCCGCCGCAGCAAGAUGAUGACGGUGAGGAGUCGGGAUGGGAGUCGGACUCAUCCGUGGCAUCAUGUCCUGCCACAUUGUCAUCUGAGGAGCGUCGGCAAAGACCUCUCGGGUCUCUCACACGGCCAGCAAGUCUUAAUGCGUUCGAUAUCAUAUCGUUCUCAAAGGGAUUUGAUUUGUCGGGGUUGUUUGAGGAGCGAGGGAGUGAAGUGAGGUUCAUAUCGGCAGAGCCUAUGCAAACAAUCAUCACAAAAUUGGAGGAGAUCGCAAAGGUGAAGAGCUUCUUCGUUCGGCGAAAAGACUGGCGAGUGAGCAUAGAAGGCACGAGGGAAGGUUUGAAGGGUCCAUUGACAAUCGGCGCUGAGAUAUUUGAGCUCACACCAAGCCUGGUGGUAGUGGAGGUGAAGAAGAAGGCAGGGGAUAAGGAAGAAUAUGAUGACUUCUGUAACAGGGAGUUGAAACCUGGGAUGCAGCAUCUCGUACACCAUAUGGGAUCAGUUCCAAAUAUACCUUCUGAUACGGAGUAGUUUGAACUAAGAAAGUCAUGCUACCAAUAACUGCUGUGGAUGGUUCCAGAUAGGUCCCUGCUCAUGGGAUGCAGCGGAAAAUAGCUAAUAUGCUUAAUUAACUCUCUUCAGAUCCUUGAUGAACAAAGAUGCAGCAGUUUCCAAGCACAAGCAUGGACUCCCAAACACAUACUCAACGUGAGCAUAUGCAAGUCGAAGUGCAUGCAUCAAUCAGUAUUGAAGUUAUUGCUUUGCUGAAUCGUUCUUUAUGUUAACUUCAAGCAUAUUAAUGUGUGGUGUUAUUUGUAACUUAAGAAUAAAGGCUUAUAAUGGCUUUGAAGUUGUGCCUUGGCUUCAACUAGCAACUUCCUUUUGCCCAACGUACUGCUACAUUCUGUGAUAUGGUUUUAUAGUUCACAAACAGUUAGGAGAAGUGCCGAAUUGUCCAGCUAUUUUAGCUGUUCAUAUAAAAUCCGUAUGUGUGGCUUUUGUUUUCUUAAGUUGUCCCUAUAAUUAGGUGAGCCGUAUAUCUGUUGUAAGUCAUAUCGAAUCACACGAACAUGUUCUCAUUUUAGUCAUUUUAGUAGUGAACAGAUGUUCAGUGGUUUUGAAUAA